RNAcentral lists this ribosomal RNA (120 nucleotides) under uncultured bacterium. RNAcentral's name for it is "partial 16S ribosomal RNA". It matches the Rfam family "Bacterial small subunit ribosomal RNA", at positions 28 to 144 of the family's 1533-position model. The record is from RNAcentral.
GACGAACGCUGGCGGCGUGCCUAAUACAUGCAAGUCGAGCGAAUCUUUGGGAGCUUGCUCCUAAAGGUUAGCGGCGGACGGGUGAGUAACACGUGGGCAACCUGCCUAUAAGACUGGGAU